AACGAACGCUGGCGGCAUGCCUAACACAUGCAAGUCGAACGAGACCUUCGGGUCUAGUGGCGCACGGGUGCGUAACGCGUGGGAAUCUACCCUUGGGUUCGGAAUAACUCAGAGAAAUUUGAGCUAAUACCGGAUGAUGUCGAAAGACCAAAGAUUUAUCGCCCAAGGAUGAGCCCGCGUAGGAUUAGCUAGUUGGUGAGGUAAAGGCUCACCAAGGCAACGAUCCUUAGCUGGUCUGAGAGGAUGAUCAGCCACACUGGGACUGAGACACGGCCCAGACUCCUACGGGAGGCAGCAGUGGGGAAUAUUGGACAAUGGGCGAAGGCCUGAUCCAGCAAUGCCGCGUGAGUGAUGAAGGCCUUAGGGUUGUAAAGCUCUUUUGCCCGGGAUGAUAAUGACGUGUACCUGAAGAAUAAGCAUCGGCUAACUCCGUGCCAGCAGCCGCGGU
Molecule: ribosomal RNA, 448 nt
Filed under: uncultured bacterium
Lineage: Bacteria
Description: bacterial SSU rRNA
Rfam family: Bacterial small subunit ribosomal RNA
Source: RNAcentral